GACGAACGCUGGCGGCGUGCUUAACACAUGCAAGUCGAACGAAGAGCGAUGGAAGCUUGCUUCUAUCAAUCUUAGUGGCGAACGGGUGAGUAACGCGUAAUCAACCUGCCCUUCAGAGGGGGACAACAGUUGGAAACGACUGCUAAUACCGCAUACGAUCUAAUCUCGGCAUCGAGGAUAGAUGAAAGGUGGCCUCUACAUGUAAGCUAUCACUGAAGGAGGGGAUUGCGUCUGAUUAGCUAGUUGGAGGGGUAACGGCCCACCAAGGCGAUGAUCAGUAGCCGGUCUGAGAGGAUGAACGGCCACAUUGGGACUGAGACACGGCCCAGACUCCUACGGGAGGCAGCAGUGGGGAAUCUUCCGCAAUGGACGAAAGUCUGACGGAGCAACGCCGCGUGAGUGAUGACGGCCUUCGGGUUGUAGAGCUCUGUUAAUCGGGACGAAAGGCCUUCUUGCGAAUAGUGAGAAGGAUUGACGGUACCGGAAUAGAAAGCCACGGCUAACUACGUG
Molecule: ribosomal RNA, 510 nt
Filed under: uncultured bacterium
Lineage: Bacteria
Description: partial 16S ribosomal RNA
Rfam family: Bacterial small subunit ribosomal RNA
Source: RNAcentral